GCAGUGGUUGUUCAGUAGUAGAAAUCUUGCCUUCCACGCAAGAGACCUAGGUUUGAUUCCUGGCCCGUGCA
RNAcentral lists this transfer RNA (71 nucleotides) under Loxodonta africana (African savanna elephant). It matches the Rfam family "tRNA". From Rfam's summary of the family: Transfer RNA (tRNA) molecules are approximately 80 nucleotides in length. Their secondary structure includes four short double-helical elements and three loops (D, anti-codon, and T loops). The record is from Rfam by way of RNAcentral. Lineage: Eukaryota; Metazoa; Chordata; Mammalia; Proboscidea; Elephantidae.